GACGAACGCUGGCGGCGUGCCUAACACAUGCAAGUCGAGCGGGAGUUUCCUUCGGGAAACUUUUAGCGGCGGACGGGUGAGUAACACGUGGGUAACCUGCCUCAUAGAGGGGGAUAGCCUCCCGAAAGGGAGAUUAAUACCGCAUAAUAACGAGAGAUCGCAUGGUUUUUCGUUAAAGGAGAAAUCCGCUAUGAGAUGGACCCGCGGCGCAUUAGCUAGUUGGUGAGGUAACGGCUCACCAAGGCCACGAUGCGUAGCCGACCUGAGAGGGUGAUCGGCCACAUUGGAACUGAGACACGGUCCAGACUCCUACGGGUGGCAG
This 322-nucleotide ribosomal RNA is filed under the name uncultured Bacillota bacterium. RNAcentral's name for it is "bacterial SSU rRNA". It matches the Rfam family "Bacterial small subunit ribosomal RNA", at positions 28 to 351 of the family's 1533-position model. Lineage: Bacteria; Bacillati; Bacillota. The record is from RNAcentral.